Molecule: non-coding RNA, 46 nt
Filed under: unclassified sequences
Source: RNAcentral
AGGGGCAGUCCGCGAUCGCCCCGUGAGGCUCCGGCCCAAGCGUCGC